GUUACAAGCCAGACGCGGUGGUUGAUUUGGGGAGGGGGGUAACAUUUGUCUCGGAGCGGAGCGUGGGAGCGACGCAUCCUCUCUCGCAGCUGAGGCCCUCGAAGCGCCCCCCAGAGGCUGUGGCAGUUUCCUGUCUGUGUGUAUUUUUAGCAAGGCCCAUUCUCAUCUCGCAGCUGCUUCAGGAAGCGCCCCGAUAAGGGUCCUCGGCCACGUCACACAGAAGAUGAAACUGGCUGUCUCCCACAUGCCUACAGCCAGCUCUGAGAGGUGCAGUGGGGCUGCAGUGGGGCUGCAGUGCAGGGCUCUGGGGGUCCCUCAUUACACGGCCCCAGGGUGUGAGUGAAAAGAGCAUGGAGCUUUCAGACAGACGUCACACGCCUCCGAGACAAAGAAGCCAACAGGAAAGCCAGACCUCGUUACAGCUAAGUUCCUCGUUAUCUGCCUUGAGUCAAGUACAGAAGAGGAAUGUAAUUUAAAAUGGACUUUCACAGUGCUUUGGUUAGUCCUUCCGUUCAGGUGUAAAUCUUCUGUCUUUGCCGUGACCUGGUUGCUAACCUUCCUUGUGACGUAUCCCGGGAGACGGGACUCGGCCGCACGAUGCAGAUGGCCGCUGGCAGUGGCGGCCUGGUUCCCUCAUUAUCAUCUGGGAAUGUGACAUAGACGGGGCGAGCCGUCACUCGCUGCCGCCGCCUUCAUCGCGGAUGCUGUUGGAUCAUACGCGAGGGACGAUGGCAUGAGGGGACCCUUGGGACGGGCUUGUGAAAUCCCCUCUCAAGUGGUACCUCGCUGUAGAGUCCAAGAGCGGAAUCUUCUACUGCUGAUCUCUGCACGCCACAAAAUCCUUCAUGGGAAGCAAAUGCAAUAUACCAGUGUGAAAAAGUAACUGAUGGAAUUGUAAACAUUCACAAGGAAACACGUCAAAAGAGGAAUUUUAUUUAUUUAUUUCUAUUUAAAAAUUCCACCAAAGGAAUCUCAAUAUAUCAAUGCCUAACCUGAACAAAUGUAUUGUUCUCUAAGUGCAUUUAGUUUUAGAUUUUGAUCUACUGUCCCUAAAGAAAUAUGAUAAGCACAUAAAAACAAGCAAUAACAGAGGGUUUGCCUCUUUAGGAUGUCAGAAACACAUCUGGAGAAAUGACACGGAUUAUCAGACGGGCGGCUCUGAGCCUGACGGGCUGGCAUAGAUUUAUCAGGAAUAAACACGCCUGCACACACACAUGUAACACGCUGCAAACAUGCUUUCUCUUAGCGUGACUUUGAUAGUGCCGUAAUGGGGUUUGCCGGAAGACAGCUUCCUAUCAAAGGCGGGAAGCGUGCGGAACAUUGCGGUGAUAUUACCCCAAGACGAUGCAGAUCGGACGGAUGGCGCUUUAUUAAGGUCCCCUUACGCUAUGAACAAAAUGAAAAAAGGGAGGGAAAAACGGCGCUGGUGUAUGAGCGGGAAAAUGAGGCGGUGCUGUUUGAAAAAUGAAACGCGGAUGAGAUGGGAAAUAAAUCAAUAGGAUUCAGAGGCUUUUCGGGAACGGCGGAAUGAGGCCAGAGUUAGAAACACAAGGCGAUGCUUUUGGGAAAUAAUUAAUUCUGUUUUUUUUUUAGAAGAAAAAAAAAAACACGAGAAACAGUGUGCAAAUGUAUUCAUGGUGCUCUAAUGUCCCUCACGGAAAUACAUGUGAAUGGAAUCACAGGGUGGAUCGCUCGUUGGCCUUCUCCACGGUGUGGAUUCCCUGGGUGGAGCGUUCCUGUGUCAAAUGUGUGUGUCCAGGUCUGUUUUCUCUGGGAACUUCGGCUUCCGCCUGCGCUUGAUGAGGGGGAUUUCACACGUAUUAAGGAUAAUAAUAAUAAUAAUUAUUAUUAUUAUUAUUAUGCAAUUGUCUUUAUUUUUUAUUAUUGACAAUAACAGUGUCAGUAACAAAAAUAAUAUUAAUAUAAUAAUAAUAACAAUAAUAAUAAAGAUGGUGAUGAUGAAGAUGUUGAAGAUGAUGAUGGAAUAUCACAGCGCUUACCCUUGGACAUGUUUUUCUCUUUGUGUUGUCUCCAAGCAGACAGUCUCCGUUGAUGCGUCUCUCUAAAAGCCGACCAAUCGCUGUGUUGUAUUAUUCAAUUCGAAAGCGAUCGAUGCGCUCGGCCGCAGGCGGACGGCAGAAGUGUAUUAACCACCCAGCUUAAGAAUAACGACCCCCCCCCCCCGAAACUCAGAGAUGACUCCAUCGAGAUGAGAGGUUCUCAACUGUCGGAACGUUACUUUCACAUCAGAGUAUUUCUGAGAAGCAGGAAAAAUGAAGUCAACAUUCAUCCUUCCUGGAGACACAUCUGAUGUCUGUUGAUGGUCAGAAGUGUAUCUUUCUGAUGAUGGUCUUACUGGGAGAUCUUGCAUUCUUUCCCUCACAAACCUAACAACCGACACCAAAGGUUUUUUUAUUAAGUUAUAUAUAUAUAUAUAUAUAUAUAUAUAUAUAUAUAGAGAGAGAGAGAGAGAGAGAGAUAGACAUACAA
Molecule: non-coding RNA, 2490 nt
Organism: Paramormyrops kingsleyae
Lineage: Eukaryota; Metazoa; Chordata; Actinopteri; Osteoglossiformes; Mormyridae
Source: RefSeq, a predicted model, not a curated record